GUCUAUGGCCAUACCACCCUGAACGCGCCGGAUCUCGUCUGAUCUCAGAAGCUAAGCAGGGUCGGGCCUGGUUAGUACUUGGAUGGGAGAAAAGAGAGCACCUUUGGUGCAGGUCAGAGACU
RNAcentral lists this ribosomal RNA (122 nucleotides) under Propithecus coquereli (Coquerel's sifaka). Lineage: Eukaryota; Metazoa; Chordata; Mammalia; Primates; Indriidae. The record is from RNAcentral.